GGAAGGGUGGCCGAGAGGUUUAAGGCAAUGACUUGCUAAGUCAUCGUACAUAUUUGUACCAUGGGUUCAAAUCCCAUUCUUUCCG
RNAcentral lists this transfer RNA (85 nucleotides) under Palmaria palmata (dulse). RNAcentral describes it as "tRNA-Ser". It matches the Rfam family "tRNA". From Rfam's summary of the family: Transfer RNA (tRNA) molecules are approximately 80 nucleotides in length. Their secondary structure includes four short double-helical elements and three loops (D, anti-codon, and T loops). The record is from RNAcentral. Lineage: Eukaryota; Rhodophyta; Florideophyceae; Palmariales; Palmariaceae.